AUGUCGCAACAGACGUGCUCGUGUGCCGACCUCAAUUGCUUCCAUGGCGGUUGUGCUUGUUUCACAAAUGAAGGGGUCUGCUCUAAGGACUGCAAGUGCCGUGCUAAGUGCAAGAACAUCUUGGAUAAUGAAGAGACGGUCACAGAGAAAUUCGCUGAACACACCAAGAACAAAGCUCCUGCCGCUCAAACGCUUCCCUCGGGCUCUGUUGUGGCGGUCCUCGUGCCGGAUACCAGGGCUAAGCCAUUCCCAGCACGAAAACCAGGGUCUAUGCUACGGUGCAGCUGUCCCACCUCCCAGUGCGAAAACGGGAACUGCAGAUGUAACAGGGCUGGCUUGCCUUGUUGUGACCUCUGCAAGUGCAACGACUGCAGAAAUCGGGGGAAGCUCCAGGAUCUAUUCCCGGGCAGCGGGAUCAAGGAAGAGGUUCCUGCUUCAGGUCCGACCGUGACGACUCGUGGGAAGGCACAGGCUGUCAAGGAGUCUGCUGUUGGGUGUAAAUGCCAAACCGAAUGCGCCAGUCGCUGCGGUUGCGUGAGGCGUAAAAUCAAGUGCACCUCCAAAUGCAAGUGCCAAGUGUGCGGCAAUGACGACGGGAGCAGAUUUUCCAAUAUGUCCAAGGCUGGAGCAGGGGGUCAAGGUAGUACUCGCAGCAGCAGCAGCGCCGUCGAAUCGACAGGCAAACGGCCAAAACGCGUUUGA
RNAcentral lists this ribosomal RNA (702 nucleotides) under Triticum aestivum (bread wheat). Its description in RNAcentral is "partial small subunit ribosomal RNA". The record is from RNAcentral. Lineage: Eukaryota; Viridiplantae; Streptophyta; Magnoliopsida; Poales; Poaceae.